Molecule: non-coding RNA, 381 nt
Organism: Cyanistes caeruleus (blue tit)
Lineage: Eukaryota; Metazoa; Chordata; Aves; Passeriformes; Paridae
Source: RefSeq, a predicted model, not a curated record
GCCUUGCGGGGCCCUGAGCCUGACCCCCGGGCCACAGCAGCUGCCCACGGCAGCGCUGUGGGUUCUCCCAGAACAUCCCCCCAGCGCUGUCCCGCCGGACCGUAAGCCUCACUACACAGAUGGAAAGCAAUGGAAAAAUUACGAAGUUACUAGGGCUUUCCAGAGAGUUUGACGCCUGCAGAGAUCUUCCUGCAGGGCUUUUCCGCAGAGCUGUCAGUUUCCUGCAGUCUAAGCUUUGCCCUGUGCGCUCGAGGAUACCCUCUCAUCACGGACAGCAUGAGUCAUGUUUCUGCACCAGAACUCCAACUCAACAGCCAUAGGACGUUUUAGGGAUUUCCUCAGGAUCAUAAAGUCUAAGUUGCCAGACAGGUUUACUUAAAG